UGGGAAGCCAGCUCAGAGCCACCAACCAGCCUCCAGAUUGUUUCCUUCAGGUCUGAUGCCUUUGCCUAGGAUGAUCCAGCAGGAUGAUAGAGCCACAUCUUGUGUUAUAAAUUAAGGGACCCACAUAGAAGGUGAUACCACUGGUGGAUGCAUGGCUGGAUGAAAACUCUAGAAACCAACAACCUCAGUGACUGAAGGAAGAUGAGUUGGACAAGAAAAAGUGAAAGAGGAGCAGCUAUGGUUCCCGCUGGAAGGAAACGGAAGACUUCAGUUCUCUGGAGGGAGCUUCUCCCGCAGCAUACAGGUUCUUGCUGGAACCCUGUUGCAUUUCCUCUGUAGGACACACAGGUUUAUCUAAGCUGUGAAAGCAACACAGAGAUAAGACCCAUGGUGUUUUCCUUGUUAGAAAAAAGCUGUCUACUUCCUGUCUGGAGAAACCAGGGACACUUGAUUUUGAAGGGACUUCAGCAAUGUAAGCACAAAAUCAGCCCCUUCUCUUUAAUUUAAAUUCCACCCUUCUCUUGGGUGACGGCUGUUUCUAAGUUAUUUAAAGAUUUAGAAAGUAGCUAGAAGGUCACUGGGUUUGUGGCGGCAUUGGCUUUUAAGCUUGUGCAAUAAAACCACAUUCGGCUUGUUCCCUAAGGUGAGGGCAGAAAUGACUGGACGGAAUGCCCACCUGCCCAUACAGUUUGAAGAGAACAGUCCAAGUUCUCAAAUAGUUCGAAACCUUUUAAGAAAUCAGAAAUAGUAGGAAACAUUGCAUCUGAAGUCACAGAAUAUGUUAAUAUUAACCCGUGUGGCUGGAAUAAAUGUGCAAGCUGAUGUGUUAAUCUCUGACGUAUUUGGAGAUAUUUCCUUUAUGUAAAUAAUUUAAACUGUCCACAAGAUAACUUCAUUUUCUACAGAGUCCGAUUUGAUUUUAACAUUUUUUGAAGAUCAUGGGAGUUUAUCAUUUUGUUUUUGGUUUCAUUCAAUGGUAGCAAUCUGAGAUAGUCACCUGCCCAUCCCAGGUCCAGUUGUGUAACUUUUAACAAGUUAU
This 1039-nucleotide long non-coding RNA is filed under the name Homo sapiens (human). RNAcentral's name for it is "HSALNT0347179". The record is from RNAcentral. Lineage: Eukaryota; Metazoa; Chordata; Mammalia; Primates; Hominidae.